This 1401-nucleotide long non-coding RNA is filed under the name Dermacentor andersoni. Its description in RNAcentral is "uncharacterized LOC126541834". Lineage: Eukaryota; Metazoa; Arthropoda; Arachnida; Ixodida; Ixodidae. The record is from RNAcentral.
AAUCCUUUAAGCUGGAAAUGUUUCAAAUAUUUAACAAAAAUUAUAUUGUUGGUGUGGAAAAAACACAGGGAAUGCGGGAGAUGGAAAUUCAACACGAUGAACAAAACAGGAUGAAAUCAGGAGCCAUUUCGACAAGUGGACUUGUCUUCUUCAAGGCAACAUGUCACUUUUAGAAAGGCAAGUCCACAUGUCGGCACAUUGGCUCCGGCUUUCAUCUUGUUCUCGUUUUGCUUAUUGUUGGUGUAGGUGCGAUAUGUGCAGUACAAUCUGACCAUUAUGGGUGUGAAAAUUAGGGAUGCGGUUUCUUUUGCACUGAAAGCUAAUCGUAUAACAAACAGUUCAGUCUGACAGGCAGAUUCAAGGUCAUUAUUUAUUACAAUAAUAAAAAUCCUCAUGUAAAGGUGCUGAAACAAGUAACAUCAUUAUACAUUGUGUUGACACCAGUGCUUUCCCUUCAUAUGGUCAUCACACAUUCAAUUUAUCAUGCAGGCAUGAUAGACAAAGAGGUGACAGCUGACCUGCUGUCAGCCCACAUCUCUUCACUGGAGGAAGAAAACCACCGCCUUCAGCAUGACCUGGAUAUUGCACGCAGUCGCCUGGCAAAGGCAGCCCCUGGAGACAGGGAUGUGCUCCGCAGCAACCCAGACAUGGUUUGGCAUUCACCAGUCAACCGUAACGAGGACAGUAGAAAGGUGGCUUGAUGCUGCUUACAUUAGGCUCAGCAGUCUGAUCAAAUGGCCAGAACGUGAAGAUCUUCAAAGAACGAUGCCAAUGGCAUUCCAAGAAACAUUUGGCAAGAAAGUAGCUGUGAUUCUGGAUUGUUUUGAAGUCUUUGUGGACAGACCUUCAGCCAUGGAACCUAGAUCAUUAACAUGGUCUACGUACAAGCAUGCAAACACCGUGAAGUACUUAAUUGGCAUCGCUCCACAAGGUGUAAUUACGUACAUAUCAAGAGGGUGGGGUGGGCGUACCAGUGACAAAAUGCUGACAGAAUCGUGUGGCAUUCUUAGCAACCUGCUACCUGGCGACUCUGUGCUGGCUGACAGGGGUUUCUUGAUCUCUGAUGCCGUGGGCAUGUGUGGAGCGAAGCUGGAAAUCCCAGCCUUCACUAAAGGGAAGCCGCAGCUUACUGCAUACUCUGUUGAGGCAACACGUAGGCUAGCAAAUGUUAGGAUUCAUGUUGAAAGAGUUAUUGGGUUAGUCAGGAACAAGUACUCCAUUCUCAAAAGCACUCUUCCCACUGAAUUUUUGGAGCCGAAGGUGCUUAACGGCAUAAAAGUCAGCGCACUUGACAAGGUUGUAUUUGUGUGUGCCGCACUUACCAACCUGUGCGACUCUGUUGUACCAUUUGACUGACAUGUGUCCUUAGUGCAAAGCAUCUAGUAAAUGUACAGUACUUUU